AUUGACGUAAGACACCCCCGUGAGGGGCUGGUGGUCAGCCCUGGGAUCCGUCACCACCGGAAGACGCGGCUCUCGGAGGGCUGCCUGGAUCCGGUCAGUGAAGGUCCCGGGAGUGAAGCAGCCCGCGAUAGGAGCAGCUCCAGUGGCAGCGGCAACUCCGGCACAGCCCGAUGGUGGUGUUCCUAGAGGCUAUGACGCUGGCACCAGCAGGGUUUUCAGUGGCGACCAUGGCUCAUGCAGCAGCGGGAGUUUUUCCAGGUGCGCUUCAGAUUUAUGAUGUAGGUUCCAUCACUUUCCUUCUGUAAAUGAACUGUUCCAUCUGGAAAUCCAGGUCGGUGCCACCGAAGUGGGCUCCUGCGGCGAGGAAUUUGAGGACCUCCUCCUCCUCCAUUUGCAGGACAUCAAGGACUCCGGACGUUGUGAAAGUUUCCCUUUAAGUUACGAUGGGAAUCACGAACAACGCCAUCCGGACCCCUGCCUUGUCCUGACAUGGACGUUUCUCUCGCAGGUGCCCUGGCAGAGUCCCCAGAGCACAGCUUUAUAAUCAAGCAGCUUCAGCUCCACCACGACCCAUUUGUUAGCUGCGCGACCUUCACAACUAACGCAGCGCCGGCACCCUGUCCUCAUCUGGGAAGCAGGUUAAUGACUGCUGUGGGGACCAAAUAACCCUCUGCCUGUGCUUUAGAUGCACACAGAAUGCCGAGCACGCAGCAAGCCCGCUUCUCGUUCCUCCACACCGUCCCCAUUCUCUGUCCCCGGGGCAGCAGCCCUCAUGCACUCGAGCAGGACCCCAUCUGCCCCUGCAUCUCCGUGUGCAGCUCUUGCGAGGCCAGACGGCCACACACGGAUCAUCCUUCUGCCCGGAGGAGGAUUCUCAGGUCCACACUUUUUCUUGGCAGGUCUUGUUUUUGUUUUGCUUUGCUUUGUAAAUGAACUGGCUUUCUGAUCACUGGGACUUCCAUCCUCAGUGGGACACAAGAUCACCUGAUCCAGAAGCUCCCAGUUCCCUCAAGUGGCCAAAGCAGGUAGGGAGUGGCAACGGCAGACCACACGGCAGGGGGGGGACCCCAGGCCAGUGACCAGCUUCUGCCCCAGCCAGGUUUUGGAGCUGGAGGAGCAGCCCUGCCUUGGGAGGAGCUGCCCCGUACCCUGCCAAGUCUACACAGUGACUCACAGGUAUUACUGUACCAGGAAAGGGUGGAGAGCAGCACCCAGAACUGUGGGCAGUGAGCGGACAGUGACCCCACAUGAUGCGGAAACCUAGGCUCCACUCCAGGGCCUCAGGUGGUCCAGGGACCACCCUGGUCUCUGAAUGUACAAAUGAAAUGGGAUAUGGAUUAAAGUCAGAUCCAGACUCUGGUCUCCUGGAAGCUGGAGGUCAUCACAGGCUCACGCUGCGUCCUCGGGUGUGGGCAAAGGCCAGAACCGUUGGACGAACACACCAGUUGUCCCCACAGGCCCCUGGGCCAGAUGCCAGUUACAGACAUCCCAGGGAAGAAUAGCCAGACCGAGUUCCACCAUGAGAGUCCUACAGGAAGCGGAGAGCUGAUCCUUGGAGCUGCCCUUAUGUGUCAGUCUGGCCCGAAAAGAGCAGGUGGAUCCUGGGAGACGUCACAGCGCAGCGCCAGGGGCAGCUGUGUGCCAGGCACAGUGCAGCCCUCGCCGCACACAGCCACUGACCUGCAGGAGUAGUGACACUCGCCUUUCUUCCUCUCAUCCAGACGGCCCUCACCUUGGUCAGCAUCUGGGACACAGACGAUAUCCCGGAGGAUCUGCUAGCAGACUGCAUGUGAGUACGAGAGAAGUUUCCAGUCUGAGCACCUGGAGGAUGCAGUCUCCAUUUACUUUACAGAGAUGCUAGGUGUGGAACAGGAGCGUGUUCUGGGACAGGACUGUGAUCUGGAUGAAGUGAGGUGACUCAGGCCAAGCUGUUCAGCAUCUCCAGGUGCGGCUGCCUGACUGUAGCAUGGAGACAGUAACAUGACCUGUUACAGACUGUCGGGGGCAUUACGUGAGCCAAUACUUGAAAAUGCUGAGAAUAACCAGCACAGCAAGCAACUAAAACAGCCCUGAGGUUCUUAUGAGGAGCAGCGCCCGCACAGCAGAGCGGAAGCCUGACAGCCAGCAGCACAGCAGAUGAGAAAUAGGAUCUUUCUGACUGCACAACUCCCCUUGCUCAUGCGCUUCCUGGACACACACAUCAAAGACCGUGUCAGAGAAAGCUGCAGUUUCGACCCUCAAGAUAAUAAACCGUUUCUCAGUUCUGAAGCCACAGCAGCGGAGGAGCCUGCACCACUAGCGACUCUCCCGAGUUGCCCGGACCACGGACCAAGUCUGCGGCUGAGGGUGGGGAGGACCAGAGGGUUCGGGAAGCCCCCACGAUUCCAGACAGUGUGCUGCUGCCGGAAGUAGCAGGUGCUAGGAGCACAUCAGCAUCAACGUGAAGGGACGCGGCACAGACCAAGCAAGACUGCGGACACAGAUAUGGCCACAGCAAGGCUGCCCACACACAGAAGCAAGCUGUGAUAGAAGUUUAAUUUUUUUUUUAUGAAGAAGGGAAGUGUUUACACUGAGAACUUCAUUCCACUAAGGAUUAUGUCUGUUUACAAAAUCGAGAUGUGUACUUAUUUCUAGCUGGGUAAGGGCCCAAGCAUAAACACAUGGCAAUUCUAAUUUGGCCCAAUGACCCUGGAAGUACUACGACUGAACGUAGGAGGGUUGGUCAGCAUAAAUAGCAGGACCUGACAGGCACAGACACUGGUACGGAGUAGAGGGUGCCCAGGCGGUCAUACAAGAACCAGGGAAGAGAGACAAGCACACACUGCAUGUUAGAAUGCGGAUUACUCGAUGUCCCCAAGAGAUGCAUUACGUACAAAAAUGAAAUCUCUCACUAAAAAUGAGACUUCUAGAAUCAAAACUCACAGUAAAGAAUACAAAUACUAUAAACAAUGAUAAUAGAAUGGAUCAAACCUAAUAGGUUAGGUACUUCCGGCAUGGAAAACCUAACACAUCAUUUCUACAAAAGAUACCAAGUUUCAAAGACAAAAAUUCAUAAGAAAGGGACUUAAAAGUUUGCCAUCAAAAAUAUCAGUCUCACACUGUGGCUCAGUUUUGAAAUAUACUCAUCUACAUAAUCAGACAUAUCCAGACCAAAAGUCAACUAGUCAAAAACUCACAUCCUUUCUUUUUCCUUUAGUUAUAGUAAGAAUACCAAAACUUGGGAAAGAAAGAAUACUGAAAGAAUAGGAAUUAUUUCGAAUCAUACUGUACUGGGAAAUUCUUAAACUUAA
RNAcentral lists this long non-coding RNA (3290 nucleotides) under Heterocephalus glaber (naked mole-rat). Its description in RNAcentral is "lncRNA (ENSHGLG00000050359.1)". Lineage: Eukaryota; Metazoa; Chordata; Mammalia; Rodentia; Bathyergidae. The record is from RNAcentral.